RNAcentral lists this non-coding RNA (32 nucleotides) under Rattus norvegicus (Norway rat). The record is from RNAcentral. Lineage: Eukaryota; Metazoa; Chordata; Mammalia; Rodentia; Muridae.
UUCCUGGGACUAACCCCCAACGAAGGAGAGGU